UACGUAGGGGGCUAGCGUUGUCCGGAAUCAUUGGGCGUAAAGCGCGCGUAGGCGGCCAGAUAAGUCCGGUGUGAAAGUCACAGGCUCAACCUGUGAAUGCCGCUGGAAACUGUCUGGCUUGAGUCCGGAAGGGGCGAGUGGAAUUCCUGGUGUAGCGGUGAAAUGCGCAGAUAUCAGGAGGAACACCGAUGGCGAAGGCAGCUCGCUGGGACGGUACUGACGCUGAGGCGCGAAAGCGUGGGGAGCGAACAGG
RNAcentral lists this ribosomal RNA (253 nucleotides) under uncultured bacterium. Its description in RNAcentral is "partial 16S ribosomal RNA". It matches the Rfam family "Bacterial small subunit ribosomal RNA", at positions 524 to 776 of the family's 1533-position model. The record is from RNAcentral.